GCCGUGGUGGCGCAAUUGGCUAGCGCGUACGGCUUUUAACCGUAAUGUUGCGGGUUCGAGUCCCGUCCAUGGCG
Non-coding RNA from Stachybotrys elegans, 74 nucleotides. Lineage: Eukaryota; Fungi; Ascomycota; Sordariomycetes; Hypocreales; Stachybotryaceae. The record is from the annotation of a GenBank genome assembly.